GACGAACGCUGGCGGCGUGCUUAACACAUGCAAGUCGAACGGAAAGGCCCCUUUGGGGGUACUCGAGUGGCGAACGGGUGAGUAACACGUGAGUAACCUGCCCUUGACUUCGGGAUAACUUCAGGAAACUGGGGCUAAUACCGGAUAGGAAUCCUUGCUGCAUGGUGGGGGUUGGAAAGCUUCGGCGGUUUUGGAUGGACUCGCGGCUUAUCAGCUUGUUGGUGGGGUAGUGGCUUACCAAGGCUUUGACGGGUAGCCGGCCUGAGAGGGCGACCGGCCAAAUUGGGACCGAGAUACGGCCCAGACUCCUACGGGAGGCAGGAGUGGGGAAGAUUGCACAAAGGGCGGAAGCCUGAUGCAGCAACGCCGCGUGCGGGAUGACGGCCUUCGGGUUGGAAACCGCUUUCAGCAGGGGCGAAGCUUGUGGUGACGGUACCUGCAGAAGAAGCACCGGCUAACUACGUG
RNAcentral lists this ribosomal RNA (465 nucleotides) under uncultured bacterium. RNAcentral's name for it is "partial 16S ribosomal RNA". It matches the Rfam family "Bacterial small subunit ribosomal RNA", at positions 28 to 507 of the family's 1533-position model. The record is from RNAcentral.